RNAcentral lists this ribosomal RNA (893 nucleotides) under Helvella guttata. Its description in RNAcentral is "eukaryotic LSU rRNA". It matches the Rfam family "Eukaryotic large subunit ribosomal RNA", at positions 41 to 946 of the family's 3401-position model. Lineage: Eukaryota; Fungi; Ascomycota; Pezizomycetes; Pezizales; Helvellaceae. The record is from RNAcentral.
UAUACAUAGCGGAGGAAAGAAACCAACAGGGGAUUGCCCCAGUAACGGCGAGUGAAGCGGCAGCAGCUCAAAUUUGAAAUCUGGGGUCCCCGACCUCCGAGUUGUAAUUUGGAGAGGCAUCUUCGGGGGGGAGCGCCGGCCCAUGUUCCUUGGGACAGGACGUCACAGAGGGUGAGAAUCCCGUGCCUGGCCGGCUGCCUCCUCCCGGGUGAAGGGCCUUCGACGAGUCGAGUUGUUUGGGAAUGCAGCUCCAAGUGGGUGGUAAAUUUCAUCUAAAGCUAAAUACCGGCGGGAGACCGAUAGCGCACAAGUAGAGUGAUCGAAAGAUGAAAAGCACUUUGAAAAUAGAGUCAAAAAGUACGUGAAAUUGUUGAAAGGGAAGCGCUUGAGACCAGACUCAGGCCCGGGCAAACAUCGCGCCCCUCGGGGCCGUGCAAUUGCCUGGGCCUGGGCCAGCAUCAGUUGGCGUGGCGGGACAAAGGCGCGGGGAAUGUGGCUCCCCUCGAGGAGUGUUAUCAGGCCCGCGCUCAAUGCCGCCGACGUCGACUGAGGACCGCGCCUCGGCUAGGAUGCUGGCUUAAUGGCCUUCAGCGACCCGUCUUGAAACACGGACCAAGGAGUCUAACAUCUAUGCGAGUGUUUGGGCGACAAACCCUUGCGCGGAAUGAAAGUGAGCGGAGGUGGGAACCCCCCAGCGGGGCGCACCAUCGACCGAUCCUGAUGUCUUCGGAUGGAUUUGAGUAGGAGCAUAGCUGUUGGGACCCGAAAGAUGGUGAACUAUGCCUGAAUAGGGUGAAGCCAGAGGAAACUCUGGUGGAGGCUCGCAGCGGUUCUGACGUGCAAAUCGAUCGUCAAAUUUGGGUAUAGGGGCGAAAGACUAAUCGAACCAUGCA